UGGAAAGGUCAUACUUCAAUAGGUUGAAAAAAAAUAGUAAUGUGUGUAUGAAUUACUAGUAUAUAAAGUUGGUAAUUAAUUACUAUUAAUAUAGGUGUUAACACUAAAAGACACGCUGGAGUCUAUGUUCACAAAGAAUCUAGCUAACAAUGACAAAAAUAAAAUCAGAAGAUUUCUGAGACCUCAUCAACAACUUAAGGAGUAUAUCACUUUAUUGAUCGGUAAUAAAAUAUAUAUCUUUAGAGAUCAAAUCCAUGCGGGCCUUCAUUUCCCCCUCCCGACUUUCUUCUCCGACAUGAGUCGGUAUUUCCGCAUUCCCCUUUGCCAGUUCAUCCCCAAUUUUAUCCGCAUACUAUGUGAGACCACUAUCUUUUUCUGUCUGUAUGAAAUUCUCUUGACAUGGCUGUUUCAUUGCUUUUUUGUUCCGCAACGACUGAUGACAUUUUUCGUUUUCAACCUCAUCCUAGGACAACCUUUUUUGACAAAAUACCUCUUCAGGGGAGGGAUUGGAAAACUAAGUAUUUUUUUCUUCACUAAACCCUCUCCUAUGCUUGGCUGAUUGGACAUCAAUCACUCCUUCCAGUCGUGCCUGAGCUAGGCAACUUCAGAGCGAUUGGCAGGCCUGAAGUUCGAUAUUUCCGAGUUGCGUUAGGAGGGAAUCUUGUAGAUGUUUGGCCUAAGCUCCCUCCCAGCGGAUACUCUAUCUAGUGGAACUUUGUUUGGCCAAACUUUGUUUUUGAUUUACCCCCUUUUGGUUUUUCCUCUUUUAUAGUGGAUACUCUAUCCAGGGCCUCGGUGUCUGGAUCCCUUCGGAUGAGUAAUUUUGAAAUAAACCUAAGAGGAUGGGCUAUUUUGGCAGGCCCUCUGCCCUUUAUCCUCCCGCUCUGGCAGGUCCACCCAUUCGUCAUCCAGCUCUGAUAGCUCCACAACGUUUAUCGUCCAUUCGUCAUUCCGCUCUGAGAGUUCCACAAGGUCCCCUGCCUAUUUGUCAUUCCGCUCCGAGAGCUCCACAAGGUCCCUCAUCCAUCCGCCAUUCUAUCCUAAUAGCUCCGCAGGGUCCCCUACCCAUUCGUCAUCCUGCUUCAGCGUCGUCUGUUUCAAAUGAACCGCUGACUUUCGCCGUAAAAGACCUCAGUCGCCUAUCGAGGCUGCCCCAGUUUCGACUCGACUCGAGCAGAGACCCUCGCCCGUCCCUCCAGUCCCUCAAACAACUCCGACUGAGAUAGGUCGCCCUGCUGUUGUUGAGCAAAUUGGGAUCGAGUGGGAAUCUAUACCUUCAACCUUCAUUCGGUGGAAAGCCCCGAUAAAGAUAGCAAAGUCUAUUCUGAGGGGCCACCUCCUCAACAAAUUGGCCCUUUCGUCCUCAUCUAGCUAGGCCUAUCCUCGUCUAGCCAGGCCACCUCCUUUAAUUGGUGGCAAAAGGCGAAUACGCUCACCCCCAGCACCCCCGCCAACCCGUCCCAGGGCCAACACGGAGGAGGUAAAUCACGGGCGGCUACUAGCCUUUGGAAUAGUGACUAGCACAUAAGGGAAGCAUUUACCUCGACUUUGCCUAAAUUCGAACCCGAGACAUCAUUGGUGGCAACACCUCAUGUGCUAACCACUAGACCCAUCCGAGAGGACAGAAUUAAAGGGUUUAAUGAUAGAUGCUUGGAUAACUCUAUAAAACAAAUAAACGUCAGCUCGGUACCCGAUUGGGUAGAUGUGUUCGCUCAGGAUGCCUCCAUGGUAAGCCCAUGAUUUUUCUAUUUCGGCAGGUGGGGUUGGUGUGAUUCUAACUAUUUCUUUUAUUAGUUCUUUGCUUUCGGGCUAAACCUAAGCUAGCUAGCGAUGGAUUCGUAUCGUCAAAACAAAAUUCUGAAGGAUCGUAUAGCAAAACUAGAAUCUCAUUCCUCUAAUGCAAUUCUGAGGUGCAUCGACUAUAGCUGGAGACAGAGACUUUGACGAAACUAACUGUUGGGAAGGAGAAAGCUUUAGGGGAAGCUAUGCAGGCUGCGGAUCUCCAUUGGGUAAACAAAGAAAAGCUUGAAGCGCUCUUGUAGGCUACUGAGUCUAAAUGUCGAGCGAAGACUGCAUGAAGGAAAAAACUACAAUGGACUUAGUGCAGAGGACUAAUGCGUUGGACAACCUAAAAAAGUCAUAUGCUUCUCAGGUAGCUCGCCUAACUAAGGAGCUCGGGGCCAAGGAUAUGGAAUAAUAUGUUAGCAAAGGGACCUGGACUCCUGGGCUACCGAGUUAGAAUCCUUGAAGCCGAACUGGAACAAACCAAGUUCAAGCCAUCAACCUCGAAGGCCGACUUGGAGACUUAUCAAGCGGGUGAAAAUGGGCGUUUAGCGGCUAGGCUGGCGAACUACCUUUGUUCUCCUUAAUUCGGGCGGCAAUUUGGCGAUCGCAUUACCUAACACUCUCCUAUGGAGCAAUUUGUCAACUACGUGAGGAGGGAUAUUUGACAAACCCACCCCCACAUAGAAUUAUAGAAGAAAUGCUCGAGGACAUUUUCUCUGAAUAUAAUUAUAUUAUUAUUAACUCAUUAAUUAUUUAUCAAUGAAAGAUAUGUUUGUUACAGGAUUCUUCACCGACAAUUUUGUGUUAUCAAUCAUUUUACAUUUCAUCUUAGCUCAACUCAACUACUUAAUUUUAAUAUGCAUCCUAAUGAUUACAUCGAAAGAAUUUAUCCGAUCUUUUGGUAUAAUUCUCUAUGUAUUAAUUCUUAUCUCAAUUGUUUGAUAUCACUUUCAGUGAGUUGUUCUUCGACACUUUUUGGAAUAUUCUCUAUGUAUUUCAUUCCAUGCAGUGUAUUUGCUUUGAUUAGUUUGCACAUAUUCUUCUAUGGAUGCAAUCUAUUGGCAUGACACUGUAACAGAAUCAAUCAUAACUACAUUUUGAACUUGUCGCCUAAUUCGACUCUUGAGCACCGUGAUGCUUUCCUCAUCAGCACUUUCCUUUUGAUGGUCGACUCUAUCGACCUCCUCGCUCUUCUCCUCCUUCUGUUUGCCGGUAGAAGCAAGUAUAUUGAUGUUAUUCCAAGAGUCUUGCUUGUACAAGCAAAUAUAUUGACUCUAUUCCAAGAGUCCUCGUCCUGGUAUGUUUGUGUAUAGAUAUCAUUUCAAUUUUUUUUUAUUUUUAAAUAUUAUGAAUUAAUAAACAUGUGCAGAUGCUUAUUGUGUUGCUUAUCUUCCCAUCAAACAUAUUCUAUAGCUGAACACGCUCCUACUUUCGUCGGACGAUGUUCAACAUUAUGUUUUCGCUGAUAUCCAUGGUAACUAUAUAUAGAUUAACUACUUACUAUCAAUAAAUUGUUUAAAAAAUUACUUAGUUAUUAUUUUUUAUUAAUUUAUUAAUUGUAGGAAAUGUCGAUGGUUGAAAUUUUAAUGAUGGACCACGAGUCAAGUAAAUUUUAUAUAUAUUUAUUACAAAACUAAUUAGCUAUUGAAAUGAGUUUAACUUCGUUUAAUUAUAGUUAAGCAACUAUGUUAUGCAUGCAAAUUUUAUUAAUGAGACAUAUAAUAUGGUAUUGCAUGGUUUUUUAGAUUUGAAAAUGUUGUGUAUUCUUCUAAGAUUAGCAUUCGAACCAAACAGUACAAGAAUAAUGCAUACUAUAUAUUUUUUCCUGUUUCGUUUGGUGCAGGUAUAUUUCAUCUGUUGAAAAAAUAUUUAUUACUAAUUAAUUCAAUUACUUAAUUAAAUUUUAUUAAUGAAGUGUUAGUGUUGAAUUGUUAAACCAUUCAACAAAAUUGAUGUUACAAACACUGGAAAGUUUUUAUUUACGUUGUUGGCAGUCUUACUAUCGUGGAAGUACAUGACGUAUAAGACGCUGACAUUGCUUAUAUUUGUCAUACUCACAUCCAGUAGUAUCACUGUCUACCAACUCUACUGGGACUUUGUCAUGGAUUGGGUCUCCUUACUUCCAAUCCCUGAACCGCUUUCUCAUAGACAAACUCAUAUUGAAAAGAAAAUUAUAUUACUACACAUCCAUGGUAAGUAGAUUAGUAGUAUAGUUAAGUGAUCGACUAUAUAUUCAUAUUAUAUAUAAAUGUUACCGGGCUUGAACCUUAUACUUCAGUUUACAUCGAUCGUGAAUUUGAUGCCGUUGGAAUUAAGUCAAGCAGAGAACCAAAUUAUUAGUUUUCUACUUGCUUCCUUGGAAAUAAUUCGACAAGCAGAUUGGAAUUUCUACGUGUAUAUAUGCUUAAUGAAUUUAAUAACUAAAUACAUUUUGAUAUUAUUAUAGUGAUUGGUGUGUAAUCAUAUUUACAUGUAAAUGUACAGAAUAGAGAAUGUGCAUUUCCAAUCACAGAGCACUGAGGUUUGUUUUCCAUAUUUUUGACUUUUUUUGAAUCUUUUUCUUCAUCUUAUAAAUCCUAGCUUAUUGUUAGAAAUCUAUGUACAAAUUUUCAUUCUUCCUAUCAGACAUGCAAUUCCGAUAUGGCAUGUAGAUUUAGACAUGCAAUUUCGAUGGUUGAGUUUUUCUUUAAUUAUUCAACACUAAAUUUUAAAAGUUGGACAACUGCUAGCAUUUAAGUAGGUCCUUGUGAAUGUGAUCUAUGUUCCUUGUGUAUUUUUUCCUCAAAAUUUGAAGAGGCUUAAGAUAUUCCUUGAUUUUUUUUCUUUCUAUAAUUUAUUGUAAUACUUACAAUAGGAAGAUAUUUUUUUAAUUAGGUGGUGAUUUAAUGCUGAAAAAAUGUUUGUUGGUAUAUUGGAACAACUUCCAAAUAAAUUGUAUUCUUAUAGGCCAAUACUUCUAAGAGCACUAUAGUACUUAAUUCUAAGGGCACUACAGCUUAAGAUGCAAAAGGUUUUCUCUAACUGAUAUGUUAAUUUAGCAUUUUUUUUCAUGGGCAUCAAUUUUUUUCUCAUAAAUGAGGUACUGUCUUAGUUUUUUGUUUUUUCAUGGCUACAAAUGAACUGAGGACGGAGGGGGAAACUAUACAAAGGAUGGUACUAUCUUCCUUUUGGAUGACACCGUUAGGAUCAACAUUGAAACAGAGGUGGACAGAGACAAAUGACUAAUCUCUUAGGAGAAGUGUCUUACCAACUGAAGCCACCGCCACCUUGAUGUUGUUUUUCUUAAUUGCUGAAUGCUGAUGCAGGAAUAAUUAGGUUGCGGUUAGUUACCUCACAGGUCAUUUCCAAAUUCCAAUGGCCCAGUCAAUCGCUACCGGCACCACUGUGCCUGUCAUUAUUUUGUUUGUUGUUCAUUUGCAUCAAUUGGUUGGUGGUGAUCUAAGAUGUUAAUUUGGAACUGGAGCCACUUGGUCUCUACCAAGGAGCUAGCUGAUGAGAGUGAGCGAACCUGUUGCUGACAUCUGAGAAUGUUUAUGGAUCAUUGAUUCUUAUUCUCCAGUACGAGUAAGUAGCAUUGAUGUUGUAAUCACUAAUUUGGAUCA
Long non-coding RNA from Zingiber officinale, 5387 nucleotides. RefSeq lists it as uncharacterized. The transcript has 2 exons. The record is from RefSeq and is a predicted model, not a curated record. NCBI's taxonomy places the organism in Eukaryota, Viridiplantae, Streptophyta, Magnoliopsida, Zingiberales, Zingiberaceae.